RNAcentral lists this long non-coding RNA (752 nucleotides) under Elaeis guineensis (African oil palm). RNAcentral's name for it is "long non-coding RNA (EGUI_LNC025076)". The record is from RNAcentral. Lineage: Eukaryota; Viridiplantae; Streptophyta; Magnoliopsida; Arecales; Arecaceae.
CCGAGUUUUAUUUGGAUUCCACUCUGAACUAAGCUUGAGCUGCUCAAAUUAAUCCGUAACGGGACCUAAUGCUUUUGCUAAGUCCCAUAAACAUAUUAUUUUUUACUCAAACUUGAUGGUCUAGCCGUGCUUAGACCAUUGCCCUUUCUUCUUUUCCGCUCUCUCGGCAAUGUGAGCUUAUCCUUUAUUGUGGAGUUUACCAGCUGCCUGCCUUGGCACCCCUUUCUUAGAUUGCAAUCAGAUGCUCGCCGACAUAACCAUCCAGGAGAUUGGAAGGAUCAAAGCGAUUUGACUUUACACCAUUACUUUUAUGCGACGAUCACCUGAUCAGAUGAUUGCCGACCCCGAGGUUGGGAUCUCGUUGAUGACGAUGAACACAGCCUUAUAAUCUGUCCCGAUGCUAAACCAAGGCAAAAUCUUGAUUCGGCACCAAUCUCAGGACGUCGAGCUUACUACUCACUAAGAGGUUUUUGGAAUCUCCCAGUGAAAUAUAGGUACGAUCUGUUUUUGGCAUCCACAAUUAAUAAUUUUGAUUAUAAAAUAAUAAAUAGAUUUCUCUUCCCUAAUGGCCCGCAAGAUAAUGGCCUAAGAGGUAGGAGCCGAAUGGCUUAUCAAAUUUUUAUAUAAUAAUAUUCAGCUUCAUCUUUAUUUAAAAAGAUAAUGGGAAGGUCAAAAGAUAAACUUUGCUUCAAAAAAACUCUGAGUAUACUCUUAAAUUCUCCCACUCACUUACCUCUAUUAUUUCCAGACUC